Molecule: ribosomal RNA, 427 nt
Filed under: uncultured bacterium
Lineage: Bacteria
Description: bacterial SSU rRNA
Rfam family: Bacterial small subunit ribosomal RNA
Source: RNAcentral
AGUGAACGCUGGCGGCAGGCCUAAUACAUGCAAGUCGAACGGCAGCACAGCAGAGCUUGCUCUGUGGGUGGCGAGUGGCGGACGGGUGAGGAAUACGUGGGAAUCUGCCCAGUCGUGGGGGAUAACGUAGGGAAACUUACGCUAAUACCGCAUGCGCCCUUCGGGGAAAGCCGGGGACCUUCGGGCCUGGCGCGAUUGGAUGAGCCCACGUCGGAUUAGCUAGUUGGCGGGGUAAAGGCCCACCAAGGCGACGAUCCGUAGCUGGUCUGAGAGGAUGAUCAGCCACACUGGAACUGAGACACGGUCCAGACUCCUACGGGAGGCAGCAGUAGGGAAUAUUGGACAAUGGGGCGCAAGCCUGAUCCAGCCAUGCCGCGUGAGUGAAGAAGGCCCUCGGUGUAAGCUCUUUGUCCGGAAAGAAAGCGCC